This 500-nucleotide ribosomal RNA is filed under the name uncultured bacterium. RNAcentral describes it as "partial 16S ribosomal RNA". It matches the Rfam family "Bacterial small subunit ribosomal RNA", at positions 30 to 523 of the family's 1533-position model. The record is from RNAcentral.
AUUGAACGCUGGCGGAAUGCUUUACACAUGCAGGUCGAACGGCAGCACGGACUUCGGUCUGGUGGCGAGUGGCGAACGGGUGAGUAACAUAUCGGAACGUAUCCAAUAAUGGGGGAUAACUAAUCGAAAGGUUGGCUAAUACCGCAUACGCCCUACGGGGGAAAGCAGGGGAUCUUCGGACCUUGCGUUAAUGGAGCGGCUGAUAUCUGAUUAGCUAGUUGGUGAGUUAAAGGCUCACAAAGGCGACGAUCAGUAGCUGGUCUGAGAGGACGACCAGAGACACUGGAACUGAGACACUGUCCAGACUCCUACGGGAGGCAGCAGUGGGGAAUUUUGGACAAUGGGCGCAAGGCUGAUCCAGCCAUUCCGCGUGAGUGAAGAAGGCCUUCGGGUUGUAAAGCUCUUUCGCAAGGGAAGAAAACUUACUUUCUAAUAAAGAGUGAGGUUGACGGUACCUUGAUAAGAAGCACCGGCUAACUACGUGCCAGCCGCCGCAGUAA